GUCAGGAAGCUCCUGCCCACAUCCAGGACACAGCUCAAAGAAGACUCUGCAGCCUGCUCUCAUCUAUUCUGACCCACCCUACUUACUUGAUGCCAGUUGCUCUACUGUGUCUUCUGCCAGCCCAGACUGAGAUGGGCAAACUCCUGCUCCUCCUGCUGCUGGGGGCUUUUGUCCUUGUGUUGAUCCAAGGCAUUUGUGAGUUGCCUGACCUGAGUGCUGAGACUCAAACUCGAGUUCUCUGCAGGAGCAGUACCUGCUGUUCAAGUAAUAAUAUGAAUGUCCUGCAACAUGUUUGUGAAUGGCAAAUGUAUAGAAGGUGAGGGUAAAUGCACCAUGGAGGAAGGUGGUGCAUGCAGAACUGGAGAUAUCUAUCAUUUCAAUCCAAGAGUUUCCCUGGUGUGCCUGCUGGAUCCCCCUCCAUACAUGCUCUGCUGAAGAUGAAGCAAGUCUUUGUUGUUUUUGUUGUUGUUGUUGUUGUUUUGUUUUGUUUCUUUUUGUUUUAUUAAUCAUUUUAUUCAUUUACAUUUCAAAUUAUUUCUCUCUUCACAGAGGAAGCAACUCAUAUAACCUCUAUGCAUCCUUCUUUCCUCUGUCUUGGAUGCUGACUCCUUCCUACCCAACAUCAGAUACCAAACAUUCUCCAUUCAUCUUCAUUUCCUGCCUUUCUUCAUUUAUAUGUGAAAAUCAUCACCAAUCUUGCUUGUCUUGCAUUUAUCUCUCCCUCACAAUCACUAAGUUGCUCUGGCUGACGAGCUACCAGGCUU
This 764-nucleotide long non-coding RNA is filed under the name Mus musculus (house mouse). RNAcentral's name for it is "predicted gene 3428". The record is from RNAcentral. Lineage: Eukaryota; Metazoa; Chordata; Mammalia; Rodentia; Muridae.